GUGGCAAUCCUAGUGUAAGAUCUGGCUCAGGACAUGCUGGAUAGCAAUUAACGGCCAUGACCUGAGAGCCUUCUGCAAUGUCUUCAUGUGACAUGGACGUAACACGACAAGUACGGUACCUGGAAGAAACCUAGUUCCUUGCAAGCCAGGUGUACUUCCUGGAUUAUCUGAGGCCGAAGAAGAGGGUGUCGCAGAAAGGAUAGAUCCACAACGGGCAAGCAUGUGUCACACAGGGUUCGCUCGGGGCGUAAGGAUGGGGGAAGAAUGUAACGGUUGGGAACAUAGGUUAGCCCCUCUUCAUUUAGUGUCAUGGCACUAGUAAAUGAACCAUUUGGUGAAGCUGAGCUAUCUCUCAUUUUUCCAACCAUAUGGUGCUCUUUUUCCCUUUAUGUUUAUGGCUUAUCUCCCUAUUUAUAAGCAACAAAUGUGGAGAUAAGAUUGGAGUUUUUGAUUAUUUAUGCAGUUAUAUAUGUAAUGAAUAUACGUAUAAUGUGAUGGUACCAUGAGUAUAACCAAUGGAGAAAUAGAGAGUACUCAUACUUGAAGAGCCACAAAAUGAAACAUUAUAAGCUUGUAGUAA
Nicotiana attenuata is the source of this 580-nucleotide long non-coding RNA. RefSeq lists it as uncharacterized. NCBI's taxonomy places the organism in Eukaryota, Viridiplantae, Streptophyta, Magnoliopsida, Solanales, Solanaceae. The record is from RefSeq and is a predicted model, not a curated record. The transcript has 2 exons.